RNAcentral lists this ribosomal RNA (274 nucleotides) under uncultured bacterium. RNAcentral's name for it is "partial 16S ribosomal RNA". It matches the Rfam family "Bacterial small subunit ribosomal RNA", at positions 523 to 796 of the family's 1533-position model. The record is from RNAcentral.
AUACGGAGGGUGCAAGCGUUAUUCGGAAUCACUGGGCGUAAAGGGUGCGUAGGCGGUUUGAUAAGUCUGAUGUGAAAUCCUAUGGCUCAACCAUAGAACUGCAUUGGAAACUGUCAGACUAGAAUACUGAAGGGGCAGAUGGAAUUAGUGGUGUAGGGGUAAAAUCCGUAGAUAUCACUAGGAAUACCGAAAGCGAAAGCGAUCUGCUGGGAAGUUAUUGACGCUGAGGCACGAAAGCGUGGGGAGCAAACGGGAUUAGAAACCCUUGUAGUCC